Molecule: ribosomal RNA, 856 nt
Filed under: uncultured Paracoccus sp.
Lineage: Bacteria; Pseudomonadati; Pseudomonadota; Alphaproteobacteria; Rhodobacterales; Paracoccaceae
Description: bacterial SSU rRNA
Rfam family: Bacterial small subunit ribosomal RNA
Source: RNAcentral
GGUGAAAUGCGUAGAGAUCUGGAGGAAUACCGAUGGCGAAGGCAGCCAUCCGGCCUAAUACUGACGCUGAGGUACGAAAGCAUGGGGAGCAAACAGGAUUAGAUACCCUGGUAGUCCAUGCCGUAAACGAUGUCUACUAGCCGUUGGGGCCUUUGAGGCUUUAGUGGCGCAGCUAACGCGAUAAGUAGACCGCCUGGGGAGUACGGUCGCAAGACUAAAACUCAAAUGAAUUGACGGGGGCCCGCACAAGCGGUGGAGCAUGUGGUUUAAUUCGAUGCAACGCGAAGAACCUUACCUGGUCUUGACAUAGUAAGAACUUUCCAGAGAUGGAUUGGUGCCUUCGGGAACUUACAUACAGGUGCUGCAUGGCUGUCGUCAGCUCGUGUCAUGAGAUGUUGGGUUAAGUCCCGCAACGAGCGCAACCCUUUUCCUUAUUUGCCAGCGAGUAAUGUCGGGAACUUUAAGGAUACUGCCAGUGACAAACUGGAGGAAGGCGGGGACGACGUCAAGUCAUCAUGGCCCUUACGACCAGGGCUACACACGUGCUACAAUGGUCGGUACAAAGGGUUGCUACCUAGCGAUAGGAUGCUAAUCUCAAAAAGCCGAUCGUAGUCCGGAUUGGAGUCUGCAACUCGACUCCAUGAAGUCGGAAUCGCUAGUAAUCGCGGAUCAGAAUGCCGCGGUGAAUACGUUCCCGGGCCUUGUACACACCGCCCGUCACACCAUGGGAAUUUGUUGCACCAGAAGUAGGUAGUCUAACCGCAAGGAGGACGCUUACCACGGUGUGGCCGAUGACUGGGGUGAAGUCGUAACAAGGUAGCCGUAGGGGAACCUGCGGCUGGAUCACCUCCUUUCU